AUCCAGCUGACAAGUCCGAAAUAGGACGAAAUGCGCAUCCUGGAU
This 45-nucleotide non-coding RNA is filed under the name Schistosoma mansoni. Lineage: Eukaryota; Metazoa; Platyhelminthes; Trematoda; Strigeidida; Schistosomatidae. The record is from RNAcentral.